CUACAGUAGAACCUACUGCUAAAAGGGAUAAUACUGUAGGCAAUUUCUCUUGCAUGUGCCGUGUUUGUAGUUGGUAAUAGAUGCCAACAGACCAGAAUACACAUUUGUUCUCUAGAUAGCCAAGAGGACAGUGCUUGAGUCAUGGGGAAGUUGAUGGUCUUAUCACAAGGUCGUUCCUCUUUACAGGGAUGUAGUUCUUCUACUUGUUUACUCAGACUAAUCGCGAACCGUUUAGUGCAUGCACUGUACAGCCUCGUGGAAACAAUGGCGGCUUUGGCAACGGCAUAGGGCACAUCCAUAAA
Molecule: long non-coding RNA, 302 nt
Organism: Daphnia carinata
Lineage: Eukaryota; Metazoa; Arthropoda; Branchiopoda; Diplostraca; Daphniidae
Exons: 2
Source: RefSeq, a predicted model, not a curated record